Molecule: long non-coding RNA, 742 nt
Organism: Lycium ferocissimum
Lineage: Eukaryota; Viridiplantae; Streptophyta; Magnoliopsida; Solanales; Solanaceae
Exons: 2
Source: RefSeq, a predicted model, not a curated record
CGGUGAUGGUCAACCACCCUAAAUAAAUCCCAUUUUUCUCCGAUUGCCUCAUUUUUUGUCUAAAACUUUGAGGGCUCAGUUUUUGCUAUUCUACAAACAUGCAAAGAGAAAGCGACAAACGCCAUCGCUGCAGACACCGGAUUGCAAAUGGACGCCGUACCAGGUUUUAGAGAAGCUCACUUUCAGUUGACCCUUUAUGGUAUUCAGAUUCCCACAAUUAGAAGGCCAAGAAGAGACAUUUUUCAUCUUGCAAAACUAAGCCAUUUUCCUUCAACAAAAAUAGCAAAUACCAAAAUCAUCAAAACAUGUUCUUGAAAAUCCUUUCAACAUGAUAUCUACUGUUCUUUUCUUCAUUAUAUGAAGAAAAAAGACUUAGAAAAAUCACACAAAAUAUUAAAAAAAUGGGUGUGCUGCAUCAACAAUUGCCUCAAAGUUAGCAUUUUUUCCACCAGAGCCAUCAUAUCAAGUUGAUUUAGAUGAACAAACACAAAAAUUGAAACUAUUAGGUGUCCCUCAAAGUGAAAAGGGUGAAGUUUCAAUUCUGCAAACAAAGUUUCAACCAUUUGAGAAAUGAAUGAUCUAAGGAAAUAUAGCAACACUAAACCCAUGAAAACAUGCAAGAGAUUCAAACUUGCACAAAAAAAAAAAAAAAAAAAAAAAAAAAACAGCAGCACAUUCUGACAGUAGUUCAACAGAACAUAAAUGAACAAUGUUACAUUACCAUAAAGAUAAUCUCAAAUUU